CUAAACCCCCAGGGGUGGGCUCCAUUUCCCCCCUCCCUCGGAUGUUAGGGGAAUUGAAGGCAAGGCAAAAAUAUUUCUGAGGUCUAAAUUACACCGACCCUGGAAGACUGAACUUGCGGUAUAAUCCAGGUUAUGAAUUGUAAAUCAGACGCCAUGCAAAAUACUCACAAAAAAAUUCAAUAAGCUGCUUUUGCUCCUAGCACAGAAAGGCAGGGCCUGGGGAGAUAGAGGGAGGCGGGCUAUGGUUGGAGGAAAGGGAGACAGAGUGUGGAAGGAGAGCAGAGGGCAGCCAGGCUGUCUUUGCCAACCUUCUCAGGGCCAGAAGCCAUUCACUUACUUAUCCAGGGGAGAAGCCAAGGGGUCUCCAUGGCCUUUGUGUGAUAUGCCCUUUAAGAUGUAACCCAGGCUUGCAAAUAAAUAUGACGUAGCUAUCAGCCUACCUAGAGAGGCUGUGCCAGUUCUCUGAGACAGGGGUCUAGCCUUCUUUGAAUCAAAUCUUUUUUUUUUUUUUUUUUGGUAUGGGUCCCACCUCUACAGUACCACGAAAGUAUACCAUGUGAUUUUUUAAAAUUAGAUUUAUUCACUUUAUUUUGUGUGUGGGUGUUUUUCCUGCCUGCAUGCAUGCAUGGACAACCAUGUGUGCUUAGUUCCUGCAGAGGUCAGAAGAGGCUAUUAGAUCUUCUGAAACUACCAUGUGGCCAACCACAUGGCUCCAGGUCCUCUGCAAGAGCAGCACCUUCUCCUAACUAUUGAGCCAUGUCUCCAGCACUGUGGUAGUACCUUUUAGUCCUUCAGAACCCAUGCAUAAAAGCCAGGCAUAUGUCGAUGUGCCUGGAAUCCCAACAGCGGAAGAGGUUGAGACAGGAGGAUCCUUGGGGCUCACUUGCUGGUCCAUCUAUGUGAACUGGUAAGCUUGAGGGUCAGUGAGAGGCUCUGUCUUAAAAAACAAGACAGCACUAGAGAACAACACCCACCGAUGUGGUCUGCCUCUGCAUAUUAACAUACACACACACACACACCACACACACACAUCACACACACACACACUCACCACACACACACCAUACACCAUACACACACACAUACACACACAUACGCACACACCACACAAACACACACUCACACACACAUGUACACACACACUCACACAUACCACACACACACUCACACACACACAUACACCACACACACACUCACCACACACAUACACACACCACAUACACACACAUCACACACACAUAACACACACACCACACAAACACACACUCGCACACACAUACACACACUCACAUACACUCAGACACACUCACACACACACCACACACCACACACACACUCACACACACUCAUACACAUACACACACAUACACAUUCACACACACACUCACACACAUAUGCACACACACCACACACACAACCACAUACACACUCACACACACUCAUACAAACACUCACACACAUGCACACGCACACACACCACACUACACACACACCAUACACACACACACACAGGCACAUGCAUGCACACAUACGUGCGUAUGCAGAAGGUAAAUUCACAAGAUCUAUUUCUCUCAGGUAUUGUCAGCAACCCUUUGAUCUUGGGGUCAGUGAAGAGAGUCCUUGGAAACCUCUGCCCUCAGUCAAAGACUGAUGGGAGGUGAGAGGUCACUGGGGACCAACUUUCCUUCUUGUACUUGGCCACUGAAUGUCCAUCACAUCUCUAUAAAGGCCUCUGAUUUAUUCCCAAUCCACCGAGGGCCACCUGCUGGGCAGCACACUCUCUGUUGGGACACAGGGCUACGAUGAGACCUUUCCCUGAGUAGGUCUGGUGACGACAUGCUGGCUCCUCCACCCCUGCCUUCCAGGUGCUCAGAAAGUCCGUGCCCUGGUCCACAUUGUACCACCCUCUAGGGGAGUGUCCAAGGGCAGCCUUUUGUGGUGGCAGCCAUGUAGCAGGCAUGAAGAAGGGCAAGGGAGACUGGAAGUUGCUGCAGCCUGGGGCUGUGGAAGCUCAAAUGUUCCUAGCCUAUUAAUAGUCACGAUGAGGAGGAUAGGAAGCCUCCUCUGGAGGGGCUCAGAGUCCUUCGAUUAAAAGGCAGAGUCUCAGGGGUUGGGGAUUUAGCUCACUGACAGAGCACUUGCCUAGCAGGUGCAAGGCCCUGGGCUCGUCCCCAGCUCUGAUGGAAAAAAAAAAAAGGCAAAAUAACAAAAUGUGCCGAUUUUCACACGCCUCUAAUGAAGACACCAUGAGGCAGCGGGGGAUCCAGCUGUGCCCGGCAGGACCAGCUUCAUCAGAGUGCAUGGUUGGGAAGAGCUUGGCGUUCCCUCUCUCUGUCUCAGUCUCUGGGCAUCUCCCCUCCCCCGCUUUCUCCUUCCUUGAAUUCUUCCUUCACCAUUUUUCCACCCUUGAAAUACCUGGAUAAGUGAAAACCAAGGAGAUGACCUUGAGCCCUUUUUAGAACCCCCAGGGCACAGGCAGCUGGACUCUCUACUAGCUGGGGUCCCUUAACAAGCGUAAUAGGCGGACUUUGAGCUGGGGACACCUUUGGUCACCAUAUCAGGGGGUCAUACCCUACUGUAACAGCCCUCUUAUGAAAAUGGGCUGGCUGAGUGACUUGCUUCUAACUCACAGGGCAUACAAGGUGACUCUGUGUCACUUCUAUAACCAGGCUGUGUCAGAUUACAACUCCUACCUCAUAGGUAGCUUCUAGAGUCUUCCCAGCUUGCUAAAUAUGGAUUUGAAUUUUGUUAAUUUCUAAUUUUAUUUUUUCUUGUGUGUGUGUGUGUGUGUGUGUGUGUGUGUGUGCACGCGCACGCAUGUGAAUGUAGGGAUGUCUAGUCAUAUGCACAUGUGUGUAGAAGCCCAGUGAUGAUGAGUCUGGAAUCUUCAGCGUUCUCUCGCCACUCCAUUUGCUGAGAUAGGCUCUUCCACUUGAACCCAGAGCUCACUGUUUAAUGACUUUAGCUCAUCAGCCUGCCUCGGGACCCCUUUGUCUCUGUCUUUAGGCAUUGGAGUUGCAGGUGGGCUGUUGGGCUCACCUGGGAUUUACAUGGCUUCUGGGAUGUAAACUUCAGUCUUCAUGAAGCACGGCUGAUCACGUGCCUUCCAGGACUGAAUCCUGCCAACAACCAUCUUCAGCUGGGUGUGGACGUCCUCUGCUGAGCCUUCCGAAAAGACUCUGUCUCCUGAUCUGCAUGCAGCCUGUGAGACACCCCGAGAUGGGACCCGGUAGAGCCAUGCCCAGACUUCAGAGACCGUCUGAGAAGAAUGGUGCUUUCCGCUGCCAGGUUUGGGGGGGGCAUGAUUUGUUCCCCAGUGUUGGGCAAUGAACACAGCAGAUUAUGGAAAGUUCUGGUUUCCCGCCGCACAUCUGCAGCGAGGUUCCAAUCAAGGCUGCAGAGAGGAUUGACCAAGCAGGUGCCUGCAGGUGUGUCAGGUACCCUGGAAGCUGAGGAGAGCUGCCUCGUUACUAAUUUACAUCAUACUGGUGAUAAUGGCUGGUCUGGGGCUCGGUGUUUAGGAUCCUGUCUAGGCUUGCCUUUAAUGUGCACACAUUCAUUCAGCUCACUCACUCUGCGUCCAGCACCGCCCCGGCUGCGUUCAGAAUACCAACAAGGUCACACUUAGUGCCUCGGUAACGACGUCCCUUACCUUGGAGGGACCUUUAUGCUGCACAAAACCCAAUUUGGUGGCAAUCACUCAACUGGCAGAGCAGAGGCAGGCCCUUCCAUUUUCUCCUUUAUCUGGGGUGUGUCUCUGGGGAGAAUAGAACCCGUUUUUCAA
This is a long non-coding RNA of Rattus norvegicus (Norway rat), 3784 nucleotides long. RefSeq lists it as uncharacterized. The record is from RefSeq and is a predicted model, not a curated record. NCBI's taxonomy places the organism in Eukaryota, Metazoa, Chordata, Mammalia, Rodentia, Muridae.